ACCCGCUGAACUUAAGCAUAUCAAUAAGCGGAGGAAAAGAAACCAACAGGGAUUACCCUAGUAACGGCGAGUGAAGCGGCAACAGCUCAAAUUUGAAAUCUGGCGUCUUUGGCGUCCGAGUUGUAAUUUGCAGAGGGCGCUUUGGCAUUGGCAGCGGUCCAAGUUCCUUGGAACAGGACGUCACAGAGGGUGAGAAUCCCGUACGUGGUCGCUAGCCUUUACCGUGUAAAGCCCCUUCGACGAGUCGAGUUGUUUGGGAAUGCAGCUCUAAAUGGGAGGUAAAUUUCUUCUAAAGCUAAAUACUGGCCAGAGACCGAUAGCGCACAAGUAGAGUGAUCGAAAGAUGAAAAGCACUUUGGAAAGAGAGUUAAAAAGCACGUGAAAUUGUUGAAAGGGAAGCGCUUGCAGCCAGACUUGCCUGUAGUUGCUCAUCCGGGUUUUUACCCGGUGCACUCUUCUAUAGGCAGGCCAGCAUCAGUUUGGGCGGUUGGAUAAAGGUCUCUGUCAUGUACCUCUCUUCGGGGAGAACUUAUAGGGGAGACGACAUGCAACCAGCCCGGACUGAGGUCCGCGCAUCUGCUAGGAUGCUGGCGUAAUGGCUGU
Molecule: ribosomal RNA, 603 nt
Filed under: uncultured fungus
Lineage: Eukaryota; Fungi
Description: eukaryotic LSU rRNA
Rfam family: Eukaryotic large subunit ribosomal RNA
Source: RNAcentral